CCUACGGGCGGCUGCAGUGAGGAAUAUUGGUCAAUGGACGAGAGUCUGAACCCGCCAAGUAGCGUGAAGGAUGACUGCCCUAUGGGUUGUAAACUUCUUUUAUAUGGGAAUAAAAUGUUCCACGUGUGGGAUUUUGUAUGUACCAUAUGAAUAAGGAUCGGCUAACUCCGUGCCAGCCGCCGCGGUAAUACGGUGGAUCCGAGCGUUAUCCGGAUUUAUUGGGUUUAACGUGAGCGUAGGGGGAUUGUUAAGUCAGUUGUGAAAGUUUGCGGCUCAACCGUAAAAUUGCUGUGGAAACUGGCAGUCUUGAGUAAAGUAGAGGUGGGCGGAAUUCGAGGUGUAGCGGUGAAAUGCUUAGAUAUCACGAAGAACUCCGAUGGCGAAGGCAGUUCACUGGACUGCAACUGACACUGAGGCUCGAAAGUGUGGGUAUCAAACAGGAUUAGAUACCCUAGUAGUC
RNAcentral lists this ribosomal RNA (460 nucleotides) under uncultured bacterium. RNAcentral describes it as "partial 16S ribosomal RNA". It matches the Rfam family "Bacterial small subunit ribosomal RNA", at positions 338 to 795 of the family's 1533-position model. The record is from RNAcentral.